CUCCUUUUUUGCCGAGCGCUCUCUUUCCCCUUUUUCUCUCCCUCGUGCUCUCCUUUCCUCGCCGCCGCCACUCCAUCCUAGCCGCCUCCUCUCCUCGUCGAACCAGCCGCCUCCUCCCCAUCUUCACGCGCAGCCUCCUCUCCCUCAAGCCCCGCCUCCUUCCCACCCUGGCUUCGCCUCUUCGGGGGGCGGGACGCAGUGGCUGUGGUGAUGGCAGAUGGGGCGACAACGGCGGCGCUCCUCCUCUCCCAUGGCGGUCGGCGGCACUCUGGCCAUGGAGGCCUGCUCCUCAUGCUCCUCUGAUAUGCCUCUUCGCCCCUGCCGAGGACGGCGGUGAGGGGCAAAGGGGCGCUGUCGUUCUCCCCCCUCAGCGCGUGCGUCAGAGACGGACAAGGAAGCCGAGCAGUCCGUCAUGCCGUCGACGCCGUCCUCUCCUACCAAGGUCUGGAUUCUCCUCCCCCUUCCCUCAUGGCGGCGCCUGGAUCCUCCUCCCUCUUCGCUUCCAUGGCGGCACCCGGACCUGCCGCAUCUUCCUCAUCGUCAGUCCGAGGGAGAGGAGUGGCAGCAGCCAUACACGCCUCGUCCGUGUCGCGUGGUGUCCCAGAUGCGUCCGCCCCGUGCUCUGCCGAUGCCUGUCUCACCCGUCUACGGCCGAAGGAGGGGAGGACUAGAUGCCAACCGAUCUGGAGGAAGAAGCGGACACCCGGACGAAAUCGACGGCGAGAUGCUUGGUGACAUCCCUGGAUAGGCUUCGUGGUGGAGGGCGCUUCGUGGUGGAGGGCACGGCCUCCGCUGCCGGGUGCAUUAUGAGGCACUCGAGGGGUAGGGUCGCUUGCAGCGCAGGUGCCCGUCGUGUGUCCCAGCGGGGCACUUGAUGCAGCUGCAGCAGGCCGGCAAGUUUGGCUGAUUUCAACACUCAAGGUAAAUUAUCAUAACCAUGGAAUGACACAUACUGAUCUCAGCCUGGAGAAUGUUCAUGUAAGGGCCAGUACACAAGCAUGUCUACUUUGCCAUAUGGAUGGUGGAUUUAGAGGACAAAUUUAUGCACCAGCUUUGAGUUCCAUGAUGUUGCGCCGACUAUGUGGAACCCAAUGAUUCAUAGUGAUGUAUUUUCUUCUUCGAGAGAGAGGACUGUGCAAUCAGAAGUACAAUAUGUGAUCAUCAAGUGUAAGAGAUGGCAAGAAUAUGUGGGUACAGAUGCGGCGGCGACAACGUCGACUUCGGUGAGAUGGCUGGUGGACCAAGGACCAAUCCUGCAUUUGCUUUAUAAUAUGAAGUAAUGUCGAUGUGUGAUGUUAACAUCAUGGUUAUCUACAGAUGUAUGGGUACGCUCCGUUUAUGGUCGUCUCUAUAACGUGUGGAGUAUCGAGACCUGUUUACGGAGGUGUGUACACGAUUGGAGGCCACGACGAGGGAUACUUUUAACUGACAUGGAUGACCGCAUGAUCUUCGGAUUGGUCUUCCUACGCUUUAGGCGUUAUACAGACUCUUUGAUUAAGUGUAUUUCGCCUUUUUCUGUUGUUGUUUUUUUUGGAACGUGGACUUGGUUAUGGCUAUGUGCAUCUCAAUUAUGCAGAGGCCGGGUGUAAUGCUUAAGUAUUUUAAGUAAUAAAGCACCUUUUAUCAAAAAAAUAGUCAUAUUUGUUUUUGUUUAUCCAUAUACAACAUCAUGUCUGAGUUCAUCAUCUUCUGAUACUGGAAGAGGAAGCACUAUAAGUUAUAAAGCAAGAAAGUAAAACAUGGAUUUCAUUUACUUGAGAGAAGAUCUGGCCAUGAUAUACUGCUACGUGCCAGACUAAAAGUUCAACAAAUGAUCACGAGCUUAGUGUCUGCCGUUUAUGAUGCCUAUUUUGGAGAUACUGUGUCCUGUUUUUGGAAAAAUAUUUUGUUCAACUGCAUACUAAUACAGGAAGUUUUCCCAUUCUUUUUUCCUUUUCCAUUUGGGUAAGGCCUAUAUAUAUAGUGUUACCUUAGUGGCAAAUUUGUAUGGUAUUUUUAUUGCUUCUUUGCUGGAUCACGGAUCACAUUCAGAAUAUCAAUUUGUAGCCUAGCUUCAAACACUUGCUUACAAUGUCUUUCUCUUUGUGACCAGUCCGCCGUGAUGGAAAACGUUAAUAUUCCAACAAAAGUGCUUCCGGAUGCUACGAUGAGAGAGCUUGGCCUUCCAAGCGCAGCUUACUCAACACACAAGGCAAGGACCUCGAGGCAAGUGUUUAAUUCUAUCCAUUGAGUACCAGCUAAAUAAUGAACUUGCAAAGACAUUAAUAUCCAUCUAUGUCUAUGAAACUGGAUGAGUCUGAAGAUUGGCUGGCAGACGAACCUCUUAAAUACAUGGAAGCCUCUUACAACAAAGUGCUGCAAGACAUCAACUAUGAUAAGUUGCAGUUGGUUCAACAAAAAGUAAAUCUCUGGAACACGAGCUGAAAGAAAAAGAUGGAAUCAUAGACUAUCUGAGCAGCAGCUGGUGGAUGAUGUCUAUGGAAGGCAUUUCUGCUUUUGCCAAUUACAACCCGCCGAAACACACCCACCAUGAAGAGCAGCUUAGAUGAUGAGGUCAUUUUCGACACGGCUGGUACAGGCUCUACCUGAUCUAAAUACUGCAUAUCUUAGUUACCAUAAGCUAGGUGACCAAAGCUAUCUAUAUGAUGCAUGUCUGUCUAUCAGCUAAUCUCAUCCCUUUCUUUUGGCCUAUGUUCUUAUUUGACAAAGCUGAAGGAAGCACGUCCAGAUUAGUUCUCUGGAUGGUGAGGUUAGAUUAAUUGACCACUAUUUCUAUUUAACUUCUCCUGUACACAAUAUUCACAAGUUCAUGUAUUAAGUACAUUUUAUUGUGUCACUUGUGUUUACUCCUUUUUUAAUGCAAGUUUACAGCUACUCGGAGUUCCUAAUUGCAGACUCAACUAUCUUGACCUACCGAUGAUCUAAUUUGUGGCAUUAAUUAUUACCUUAAGAAAAUAUUUGCAUUUAAUUUCACUUAUAUAUAGGGGUAUAAGUUCUUACCAAAUGUACUCAAAUAUACAAUUACUGAAAAAAUGCAAAUAUUUUCAACACGAACAUGGUUUUAAACGGGUCUUUGCGCCAUUUGGCGCAACUGGUCAUCUAGUAGAGCAAACCAUCCAGGGUCCCUUCGGUGCAGUAAUCAUCUCUGAAUAGGUGAGUACAGCUUCAGCUUCAGCUGCAUGCUAGGUGUUUGUUGUUUGCUUUAGCAGUGCUUUGGUUGCUGCAAAUCUAGCAAGUUGCCUGACAGCUCCAUAUCUCAUCGUCUGCAUGAUCUUCAGCAUCGCAUGUGACAGCCAUUCCUGGUAUCUCCAUUGCAUUUUCCUAUGGGCCAACCAGUUGGUAACCAUCAGGGCCAGAAUGGCAUCAGGUCCAUCUCUAUGGAGCUGUCACUAGUUCAUGUCACUAUUUUUGUUUUCUGGUGGCUUUUGUUCAUGGACUGCAGUAAUGUAAGUUGCAGCGCAGGGCUCACUUUGUUAGUACCUGAAGUUUACUUGUAUUGUCCAUGACAGUGACUUAAUGAUGAGGGCAUCUCAGUACCUCAUGUUGUUCCCAUGAAGGAGGAGGUGAAGCCCAACUUCAGGACUCCUCCAAGUUAGAGGUGUGCCAAAGGGGGUGACCGAACCAUGUACUUGGUCGGUUCUAGUUUUAUCUAUUUUUAUUUCCAAGUCUUGUUAUGGGCCACUUAGGAUUUUUAUUUUGUGUAUUUCGGUGUGGGCCUGUCCAACCGAUUAGUUUUCUAGAUGCCUAUAUAAGGAGGCUAGUGGCUAGGUUUAGAGGGGGUGAAAUUUUUAGAUUGAGUUUUGAACAUUGUGUCCACGUGGUGAAUCAUCCCUCCGGGGACGGCGCUGCUAUUUAUCAAAUAAAGUGAUGAUUGCAUGAA
Triticum aestivum (bread wheat) is the source of this 3880-nucleotide long non-coding RNA. RefSeq lists it as uncharacterized. The record is from RefSeq and is a predicted model, not a curated record. The transcript is spliced from 4 exons. Lineage: Eukaryota; Viridiplantae; Streptophyta; Magnoliopsida; Poales; Poaceae.